CCCAGCUCCUCCUCCCCCGACUCCGCUCUGCAGCUUGUGCUUCAGACCGUGAGCCUCUCUAGCCACUCCGGUGCUCCAGCUACCUGGCAGCCGGCUCCUGCACACGUGGCUGACAGAUGGCUCUACAGCAGGAGAGCCCACUGGUCCGAACAGGGGAUGUAAACAUCAGACAUAUGGUGGAAUAGAACAUGCUCUCCUUUCAAGGCUCAUCAGCAAAAUCGGCCCUGCCGGUGUGAUAGAUUUUAAUGGUGCUGCACCAUUAAUCAUACAAGGUCCACCUGAUUACGAAAGAGAAAAAGUUCACUUCUAUAACAAUCGCCAGUAAUAACAAGCCAUUAGACCCCGUAAAGUGAGUUGAAAUCCUUUUUAAUUGAUUAACAGAUUAAUAAAUGUUUCAAUGGAGUUUUCCUCAUGUAGCAACAUGCGGCAAUUAGCGUCUGGAAUGUAAUUAAUGAAGGGAUAAUAAACAAUGGAGCACUUUCAUUAUCCUUACCCAAUUAUGAUGUGAUUACAGCUCUAAGCUGCCAGUGAUAUGCUGUGACUAACCAAACCAAAGUGAUUAGAGCAUGAAAUACCCCUGCUGUCCAUGUGGAUGCGUCGAUGCAAUCGUGGCGGAGAUCGCAGCACCACGUGUGAAAUACUUGCAUCAGUCUACGAAUCCUGCUGUUCUCGGCUGUUUGGG
Denticeps clupeoides (denticle herring) is the source of this 682-nucleotide long non-coding RNA. The record is from Ensembl. NCBI's taxonomy places the organism in Eukaryota, Metazoa, Chordata, Actinopteri, Clupeiformes, Denticipitidae.